GCCCUAAUUGCGGCGCGUCUGCAGCGUGCAGCGGUAGUUGGCUGCCCUGCGCCUAGAGCCAGGAUCACACUCUAUUAAUGUCUGGGAAACUGCCCGAUGGAGGGGGAUAACUACUGGAAACGGUAGCUAAUACCGCAUAACGUCGCAAGACCAAAGAGGGGGACCUUCGGGCCUCUUGCCAUCGGAUGUGCCCAGAUGGGAUUAGCUAGUAGGUGGGGUAACGGCUCACCUAGGCGACGAUCCCUAGCUGGUCUGAGAGGAUGACCAGCCACACUGGAACUGAGACACGGUCCAGACUCCUACGGGAGGCAGCAGUGGGGAAUAUUGCACAAUGGGCGCAAGCCUGAUGCAGCCAUGCCGCGUGUAUGAAGAAGGCCUUCGGGUUGUAAAGUACUUUCAGCGAGGAGGAAGGUGUUGUGGUUAAUAACCGCAGCAAUUGACGUUACUCGCAGAAGAAGCACCGGCUAACUCCGUGCCAGCAGCCGCGGUAAUACGGAGGGUGCAAGCGUUAAUCGGAAUUACUGGGCGUAAAGCGCACGCAGGCGGUCUGUCAAGUCGGAUGUGAAAUCCCCGGGCUCAACCUGGGAACUGCAUCCGAAACUGGCAGGCUAGAGUCUUGUAGAGGGGGGUAGAAUUCCAGGUGUAGCGGGGAAAUGCGUAGAGAUCUGGAGGAAUACCGGUGGCCGA
Molecule: ribosomal RNA, 687 nt
Filed under: Citrobacter sp. HPC1292
Lineage: Bacteria; Pseudomonadati; Pseudomonadota; Gammaproteobacteria; Enterobacterales; Enterobacteriaceae
Description: bacterial SSU rRNA
Rfam family: Bacterial small subunit ribosomal RNA
Source: RNAcentral